Molecule: ribosomal RNA, 446 nt
Filed under: uncultured bacterium
Lineage: Bacteria
Description: bacterial SSU rRNA
Rfam family: Bacterial small subunit ribosomal RNA
Source: RNAcentral
CCAGACUCCUACGGGAGGCAGCAGUGGGGAAUAUUGGGCAAUGGGCGCAAGCCUGACCCAGCAAUGCCGCGUGAAGGAAGAAGGCUUUCGGGUUGUAAACUUCUUUGACAGGGGAAGAGCAGAAGACGGUACCCUGAAAACAAGCCACGGCUAACUACGUGCCAGCAGCCGCGGUAAUACGUAGGUGGCAAGCGUUGUCCGGAUUUACUGGGUGUAAAGGGCGUGUAGCCGGGAAGGCAAGUCAGAUGUGAAAUCUGGAGGCUCAACCUCCAAAUUGCAUUUGAAACUGUUUUUCUUGAGUACUGGAGAGGCAGACGGAAUUCCUUGUGUAGCGGUGAAAUGCGUAGAUAUAAGGAGGAACACCAGUGGCGAAGGCGGUCUGCUGGACAGCAACUGACGGUGAGGCGCGAAAGCGUGGGGAGCAAACAGGAUUAGAUACCCGAGUA